Molecule: ribosomal RNA, 594 nt
Filed under: uncultured Pantoea sp.
Lineage: Bacteria; Pseudomonadati; Pseudomonadota; Gammaproteobacteria; Enterobacterales; Erwiniaceae
Description: bacterial SSU rRNA
Rfam family: Bacterial small subunit ribosomal RNA
Source: RNAcentral
CCUUGGGUGACGAGUGGCGGACGGGUGAGUAAUGUCUGGGGAUCUGCCCGAUAGAGGGGGAUAACCACUGGAAACGGUGGCUAAUACCGCAUAACGUCGCAAGACCAAAGAGGGGGACCUUCGGGCCUCUCACUAUCGGAUGAACCCAGAUGGGAUUAGCUAGUAGGCGGGGUAAUGGCCCACCUAGGCGACGAUCCCUAGCUGGUCUGAGAGGAUGACCAGCCACACUGGAACUGAGACACGGUCCAGACUCCUACGGGAGGCAGCAGUGGGGAAUAUUGCACAAUGGGCGCAAGCCUGAUGCAGCCAUGCCGCGUGUAUGAAGAAGGCCUUCGGGUUGUAAAGUACUUUCAGCGGGGAGGAAGGCGAUGCGGUUAAUAACCGCGUCGAUUGACGUUACCCGCAGAAGAAGCACCGGCUAACUCCGUGCCAGCAGCCGCGGUAAUACGGAGGGUGCAAGCGUUAAUCGGAAUUACUGGGCGUAAAGCGCACGCAGGCGGUCUGUUAAGUCAGAUGUGAAAUCCCCGGGCUUAACCUGGGAACUGCAUUUGAAACUGGCAGGCUUGAGUCUUGUAGAGGGGGGUAGAAUUCCAG